GGCAGUGUGGCGCAGUGGUUAGCCUACCUAACCGGUAAUUGGGAGACCCGGAGUUCAAAUUCCGGCGCAGCCA
This 73-nucleotide transfer RNA is filed under the name Ixodes scapularis (black-legged tick). It matches the Rfam family "tRNA". Rfam says of the family: Transfer RNA (tRNA) molecules are approximately 80 nucleotides in length. Their secondary structure includes four short double-helical elements and three loops (D, anti-codon, and T loops). The record is from Rfam by way of RNAcentral. Lineage: Eukaryota; Metazoa; Arthropoda; Arachnida; Ixodida; Ixodidae.